GCCGUCGUAGCGCAACGGAUAGCGCGCCCGCCUCCUACGCGGGGUCCGUCCGGGUUCGAGUCCCGGCGACGGCUCCA
This 77-nucleotide transfer RNA is filed under the name Microbacterium sp. RNAcentral's name for it is "tRNA-Arg". It matches the Rfam family "tRNA". From Rfam's summary of the family: Transfer RNA (tRNA) molecules are approximately 80 nucleotides in length. Their secondary structure includes four short double-helical elements and three loops (D, anti-codon, and T loops). Lineage: Bacteria; Bacillati; Actinomycetota; Actinomycetes; Micrococcales; Microbacteriaceae. The record is from RNAcentral.